RNAcentral lists this ribosomal RNA (337 nucleotides) under uncultured archaeon. RNAcentral's name for it is "partial 16S ribosomal RNA". It matches the Rfam family "Archaeal small subunit ribosomal RNA", at positions 133 to 475 of the family's 1478-position model. The record is from RNAcentral.
CGGGAAACUGGGGAUAAUACCCCAUAGAUCAGGGAUGCUGGAAUGCCCCCUGAUUCAAAGGUCCGCCGCCUGAGGAUGGGUCUGCGGCCGAUUAGGUUGUUGUUGGGGUAACGGCCCAACAAGCCAUUGAUCGGUACGGGUUGUGAGAGCAAGAGCCCGGAGAUGGAUUCUGAGACACGAAUCCAGGCCCUACGGGGCGCAGCAGGCGCGAAAACUUUACAAUGCGAGAAAUCGUGAUAAGGGAACCCCGAGUGCCCGUAAAUUCGGGCUGUCCAUCAGUGUAAAUAACUGGUGAAGAAAGGGCCGGGCAAGACCGGUGCCAGCCGCCGCGGUAAUA